GCCUGGGUGGUGGAAUUGGUAGACACGCAGCGUUCAGGGCGCUGUGGGCUUUCGUCCGUGGGAGUUCAAAUCUCCCCCCAGGCACUA
This 87-nucleotide transfer RNA is filed under the name Candidatus Yanofskybacteria bacterium CG10_big_fil_rev_8_21_14_0_10_46_23. RNAcentral describes it as "tRNA-Leu". It matches the Rfam family "tRNA". Rfam says of the family: Transfer RNA (tRNA) molecules are approximately 80 nucleotides in length. Their secondary structure includes four short double-helical elements and three loops (D, anti-codon, and T loops). The record is from RNAcentral. Lineage: Bacteria; Candidatus Yanofskyibacteriota.